AGAGUUUGAUCCUGGCUCAGAACGAACGCUGGCGGCAGGCUUAACACAUGCAAGUCGAACGCGUGUAGCAAUACACGAGUGGCGCACGGGUGAGUAACGCGUGGAUAUCUGCCUUUUGGUUCGGAAUAACUCCGGGAAACUGGAGCUAAUACCGGAUGGUUCCUACGGGAUAAAGAUUUAUCGCCAAAAGAUGAGUCCGCGUACGAUUAGCUAGUUGGUGAGGUAAUGGCUCACCAAGGCGACGAUCGUUAGCUGGUCUGAGAGGACGAUCAGCCACACUGGGACUGAGACACGGCCCAGACUCCUACGGGAGGCAGCAGUGGGGAAUAUUGGACAAUGGAGGCAACCCUGAUCCAGCCAUGCCGCGUGAGUGAUGAAGGCCUUCGGGUUGUAAAGCUCUUUUGGCGGGGACGAUGAUGACGGUACCCGCAGAAUAAGCCCCGGCUAACUUCGUG
This 455-nucleotide ribosomal RNA is filed under the name uncultured bacterium. RNAcentral describes it as "bacterial SSU rRNA". It matches the Rfam family "Bacterial small subunit ribosomal RNA", at positions 8 to 507 of the family's 1533-position model. The record is from RNAcentral.